This 494-nucleotide ribosomal RNA is filed under the name uncultured bacterium. RNAcentral describes it as "partial 16S ribosomal RNA". It matches the Rfam family "Bacterial small subunit ribosomal RNA", at positions 28 to 507 of the family's 1533-position model. The record is from RNAcentral.
GACGAACGCUGGCGGCGUGCUUAACACAUGCAAGUCGAACGGAAAGGCCUGCUUUCCCUUGUGGAUUGCGGGUACUCGAGUGGCGAACGGGUGAGUAACACGUGAGUGAUCUGCCCCCAACUUGGGUAUAAGCCUGGGAAACUGGGUCUAAUUCCCGAUAGGACUGCAGGGUGGUGCCUGUGGUGGAAAACGAUUUUCUAGUGGUUGGGGAUGAGCUCGCGGCCUAUCAGCCUGUUGGAGGGGUAAUGGCCUACCAAGGCGGCGACGGGUAGCCGGCCUGGGAGGGUGGACGGCCACAUUGGGACUGAGAUACGGCCCAGACUCCUACGGGAGGCAGCAGUGGGGAAUAUUGCACAAUGGGCGGAAGCCUGAUGCAGCGACGCCGCGUGGGGGAUGACGGCCUUCGGGUUGUAAACUCCUUUCGACCGCGAGGAAGCCACCUGGUUGGAAGGGUGGUGACGGUAGUGGUAGAAGAAGCACCGGCUAACUACGUG